GAUGAACGCUGGCGGCGUGCCUCAAACAUGCAAGUCGAGCGGGGCUAUGUAAUAUCGCAAGGUAGAACAUAGCCUAGCGGCGAACGGGUGAGUAACACGUGGGUAACCUGCCUGGAAGACAGGGAUAACGAUUCGAAAGGGUCGCUAAUACCUGAUAAUAUCCUUUCAUCGCAUGGUGAUAGGAAGAAAGGGGAAACCCGCUUUCAGAUGGGCCCGCGUCCCAUCAGCUAGUUGGUAAGGUAAAGGCGUUACCAAGGCGACGACGGGUAGCCGGUCUGAGAGGAUGUACGGCCACACUGGGACUGAGAUACGGCCCAGACUCCUACGGGAGGCAGCAGUUGGGAAUCUUAGGCAAUGGACGAAAGUCUGACCUAGCGACGCCGCGUGAGGGAAGAAGGCCUUGGGUCUAAACGUCUGUCAGUGGGGGAAGAAGGGAAGUGGAACGGUACCCCGAAGAGGAAGACCCCUGGCUAACGUUAACGCGCCAGCAGCCGACGGUAAAAGUACUCUAU
This 512-nucleotide ribosomal RNA is filed under the name uncultured bacterium. RNAcentral's name for it is "bacterial SSU rRNA". It matches the Rfam family "Bacterial small subunit ribosomal RNA", at positions 28 to 531 of the family's 1533-position model. The record is from RNAcentral.